Oncorhynchus tshawytscha (Chinook salmon) is the source of this 458-nucleotide long non-coding RNA. Lineage: Eukaryota; Metazoa; Chordata; Actinopteri; Salmoniformes; Salmonidae. The record is from Ensembl.
UCAGGACUGACUGGGCCACUCCAGAAGGUCAGGACUCUGACUGGGCCACUCCAGAAGGUCAGGACUGACUGGGCCACUCCAGAAGGUCAGGACUGACUGGGCCACUCCAGAAUGUCAGGACUGACUGGGCCACUCCAGAAGGUCAGGACUGACAGGGCCACUCCAGAAGGUCAGGACUCUGACUGGGCCACUCCAGAAGGUCAGGACUGACUGGGCCACUCCAGAAAGUCAGGACUCUGACUGGGCCACUCCAGAAGGCCAGGACUGACUGGGCCACUCCAGAAGGUCAGGACUCUGACUGGGCCACUCCAGAAGGUCAGGACUCUGACUGGGCCACUCCAGAAGGUCAGGACUCUGACUGGGCCACUCCAGAAGGUCAGGACUGACUGGGCCACUCCAGAAGGUCAGGACUGACUGGGCCACUCCAGAAGGUCAGGACUCUGACUGGGCCACUCCAG